GGGUUCCAGAUACAUAACAUUCUGCUACACAGAUGCUGUUUCCUUUGCCCAGCACACCUGUCACUCACCUCAACCCUUUCUCUCUUUUCCCCAUCUUUCUGUGGCUAGCUCCUCCUCAUUCUUUAGGUCUCAGUGUAGAUAGCACCACUAUCAGGAAGGAGUCCAGACACUGCCAGGCCUAAGGCUUCCAGAUACAGCCCUCUAGGUCAUCCAGAGGUGCCAGCCAGCCCUCACCAGUGGUCAGCUUUUCCUCAGUGGAGUGGUAGGUGAGCCAGUGGAGCUUGCUCUGAAGAUACUAGAGGGAGCCAAAGCUGUCUGGCCCUUCAGUGUGACUCAGUUUCCAGACUCUUUCUCUUUAGACAUAAAUGAAGAACAAGUCAACCUUGAUGCCUUUGAGGGUUGGUUCAGCGGAUGAUGUGUUGUGGGGUUUUCCCACAGGUCAGCAGUCCAACUACCAGGGCCAGAGCCCCAUCAAAGAAUCUUCAGUGCCAGCCAGAAAGAAUGAUGAACUCCUCGUGUAAAGGGAGUUUGGGGCAACCAGUCAAACCAUGGCCUCAUGGGAAGCAGCUGACUAGGCAAUGAGAGAGGAAUACAAAAGACAAGGCACUGCGAAGCCAAGUCUGGUUGGGGAGAAGAAACCAAUAUGCCUGAAACAGGGAACCAGAAAGGACUCAGACAAAACUGCUGACAAGUAUGGGGUUUCUUGGGGUAGGUGGUGAAAAUAUUCCAAAAUAAGAUUAUAGCGAUGUUUUAAUAAUCCCCUGGAUAUAAUAAAAAAACAUCGAAUUGUACACUUCAAA
This is a long non-coding RNA of Homo sapiens (human), 800 nucleotides long. Ensembl annotates it as long intergenic non-protein coding RNA 1704. NCBI's taxonomy places the organism in Eukaryota, Metazoa, Chordata, Mammalia, Primates, Hominidae. The record is from Ensembl.